CCAGACUCCUACGGGAGGCAGCAGUGAGGAAUAUUGGUCAAUGGCCGCAGGGCUGAACCAGCCAAAUCGCGUGAGGGAUGACGGUCCUAUGGAUUGUAAACCUCUUUUGUCAGGGAGCAAAGGGCGCCACGUGUGGCGUUUUGCGAGUACCUGAAGAAAAAGCAUCGGCUAACUCCGUGCCAGCAGCCGCGGUAAUACGGAGGAUGCGAGCGUUAUCCGGAUUUAUUGGGUUUAAAGGGUGCGUAGGCGGAAUAUCAAGUCAGCGGUAAAAAUUCGGGGCUCAACCCCGUCGUGCCGUUGAAACUGGCAGUCUCGAGUUGGAGAGAAGUAUGCGGAAUGCGCGGUGUAGCGGUGAAAUGCAUAGAUAUCGCGCAGAACUCCGAUUGCGAAGGCAGCAUGCCGGCUCCACACUGACGCUGAGGCACGAAAGCGUGGGUAUCGAACAGGAUUAGAUACCCCCGUACA
This 465-nucleotide ribosomal RNA is filed under the name uncultured bacterium. Its description in RNAcentral is "bacterial SSU rRNA". It matches the Rfam family "Bacterial small subunit ribosomal RNA", at positions 331 to 794 of the family's 1533-position model. The record is from RNAcentral.